GGUGAUUGGCUAAUGAUAC
Molecule: non-coding RNA, 19 nt
Filed under: Arabidopsis thaliana (thale cress)
Lineage: Eukaryota; Viridiplantae; Streptophyta; Magnoliopsida; Brassicales; Brassicaceae
Source: RNAcentral